Molecule: ribosomal RNA, 446 nt
Filed under: uncultured organism
Description: partial 16S ribosomal RNA
Rfam family: Bacterial small subunit ribosomal RNA
Source: RNAcentral
ACACUCCUACGGGAGGCAGCAGUGGGGAAUAUUGGACAAUGGGCGCAAGCCUGAUCCAGCCAUGCCGCGUGAGUGAUGAAGGCCCUAGGGUUGUAAAGCUCUUUCACCGGUGAAGAUAAUGACGGUAACCGGAGAAGAAGCCCCGGCUAACUUCGUGCCAGCAGCCGCGGUAAUACGAAGGGGGCUAGCGUUGUUCGGAUUUACUGGGCGUAAAGCGCACGUAGGCGGACUAUUAAGUCAGGGGUGAAAUCCCGGGGCUCAACCCCGGAACUGCCUUUGAUUCUGGUAGUCUUGAGUUCGAGAGAGGUGAGUGGAAUUCCGAGUGUAGAGGUGAAAUUCGUAGAUAUUCGGAGGAACACCAGUGGCGAAGGCGGCUCACUGGCUCGAUACUGACGCUGAGGUGCGAAAGCGUGGGGAGCAAACAGGAUUAGAAACCCUGGUAGUCC